UACACCAGAACAGACCAGAACACAAUCAAGUCCACAUGUUACUGAGCAGCCAUUAUGUUGUCUUCUCUGUGUAGGCUGAUCCUGAAGAUGGUGUUUCCUACGCCUCCAUCAGCUACACCAGGAAGACCAACAGUAAAGGCCGGGUUCUGGGUAAAGAUGGUGAUGAUGAAGAUGAUGCAGUGACCUACAGCAGCGUGAAAGCUUCCUCUUCUUCUGCUGGAGCCUCAGCUGAUCCCAGCGACCUCUACGCCACCGUCAACAAACCAAACAAAUAAGAGACCACAGUGUAGUUACAGCUCAUAUCAUUACAGCAGCUGCUACAGUAUCACCAUAUUGCACCAUGGACAUCAGGAGUCAGAUUCUGGUGGGAGAGGAGUUUGACUCUUCACCUGUCUGUUCAUGUGUGCUGUCAAACAUCACCAUGGAUCCUGUCUGUUUUCUAAUAAACACUAUCUGAAGAAAACAAGUUGCAUCAUUGCAAACAUUUAUCUGAACUAACAAUCUUCAC
Molecule: long non-coding RNA, 508 nt
Organism: Micropterus dolomieu (smallmouth bass)
Lineage: Eukaryota; Metazoa; Chordata; Actinopteri; Centrarchiformes; Centrarchidae
Exons: 3
Source: RefSeq, a predicted model, not a curated record